This 2930-nucleotide unclassified non-coding RNA is filed under the name uncultured fungus. Its description in RNAcentral is "sequence contains 18S rRNA gene, ITS1, 5.8S rRNA gene, ITS2, 28S rRNA gene". The stretch from base 570 to 2930 matches the Rfam family "Bacterial large subunit ribosomal RNA", at positions 1 to 2310 of the family's 2925-position model. The record is from RNAcentral. Lineage: Eukaryota; Fungi.
GGCUGGAUCACCUCCUUUCUAAGGAGUCCUCCCUCGAGAAAUCGAGAGGACAACUAGGUCAUACCUUUGAUUCUAAGUUCGAGACGGGACUUGAGAGUCUCGAAUACCUCGUAUGCUAUUCAGUUUUGAGCGACCGAGGGGUUGAUCGGAUGUCCACGAAGGUGGGUCAUCUACGCCGAAGCAGGGCGCUGAGGCGUGGCUCCUUGAUAGUUAGAGCGACGGUGCAGCGUUACACUGGGCCUAUAGCUCAGCUGGUUAGAGCGCACGCCUGAUAAGCGUGAGGUCAGUAGUUCAAGUCUACUUAGGCCCACUAAGACCAGCGGGGUUGUAGCUCAGUUGGGAGAGCGCGGGCUUUGCAAGCCUGAGGUCGUCGGUUCGAGUCCGAUCAGCUCCACGAGCAAAAAGUUUCGUCGUUCUUUGACAAGCGAAUAUGAUGAGAGAGCUGUAAAAUAGAUUUUUACGAGCUCAAUUUUCGUCAAGCGUUAAUAUUCUCGAUCUGCCCACAUAAAUUGAUGGGAGACGGGUUAGUUGGUUCGAGCAUCGAACCCUAGCCUCGACCUAUUAUGUGUGGUCAAGCUACGAAGGGCAGACGGUGGAUGCCUUGGCGCGCAAAGGCGAUGAAGGACGUGGCUAGCUGCGAUAAGCUUCGGUGAGAUGCUAAGCGAUCUUUGACCCGAAGAUGUCCGAAUGGGGAAACCCGGCCGGCUCGACCGGCCAGCUUGCACUGAAUACAUAGGUGCCUGCGGCAAACCUGGGGAAGUGAAACAUCUCAGUACCCGGAGGAAGAGAAAUCAAACGAGAUCCCGUUAGUAGCGGCGAGCGAAGACGGGCUGCCAACAAUGGCAAGGGCAAACCGAUGGGAUUCGUCCCAUCGGGGGUUGUAGGACCCCGACGUGGGAACCAACAAGGAUAGCGGAAGCUUCUGGAAAGUAGCUCCAUAGAGGGUGAUAGACCCGUACGCGAAAUCUGAGUUGGCCCUAGGGAGUUCCUGAGUACCACAGGGCACGAGCAACCCGGUGGGAAUCUAGGGGGACCACCCUCUAACCCUGAACACUCAUGCGCGACCGAUAGUGCACCAGUACCGUGAGGGAAAGGUGAAAAGCACCCCGGUUAGGGGAGUGAAAUAGUACCUGAAACCGUCUGCUUACAAGCCGUUCGAGGGCUAUGGAUCUUCGGAUCAAAGCCUGAGAGCGUUCCUUUUGAAUGAUGAGUCCGCGAGUUGCGGUAUGUCGCAAGGUUAAGCCAUUAUAGGUGUAGCCGAAGGGAAACCGAGUCCUAACUGGGCGUCGAGUGGCAUGCUGCAGACCCGAAGCGUUGUGAUCUACACAUGGACAGGCUGAAGCGUGGGUAAAACUGCGUGGAGGGCCGAAUCCACCGAAGUUGAAAAUUCGGGGAAUGAGCUGUGUGUAGGGGUGAAAGGCUAAUCAAACUGCGUGAUAGCUGGUUCUCCCCGAAAGAUAUUUAGGUAUCGUCUCGAGUCACUCACUACCGGAGGUAGAGCACUCGAUGGGCUAGGGCCCUUACCAGGGUACCAAACCUAACGAAACUCCGAAUGCCGGUAAGUGUUAUCUCGGGAAGCAGGCUGCGGGAGAUAAGUUCCGUAGCCGAGAGGGAAAGAGCCCAGAUCGUCAGCUAAGGUCCCCAACUCUAUGCUAAGUGGAAAACGAUGUGGGUUCGCUUAGACAACCAGGAGGUUGGCUUAGAAGCAGCCAUCCUUUAAAGAAAGCGUAAUAGCUCACUGGUCAAGUGAACCUGCGCGGAAAAUAUAACGGGGCUAAAGCAUAGGACCGAAGCUACGGGUUCUUCGCAAGAAGAGCGGUAGGGGAGCAUCGAAGUUGCCUGUGAAGGUCGACCGAUAGGACGGCUGGAGGCCCUUCGAGGGCAAAUGCGGACAUGAGUAGCGAUAAGACGAGUGAGAAACUCGUCCGCCGAAAACCUAAGGUUUCCUGGGCCAGGUUCAUCCUCCCAGGGUUAGUCGGGUCCUAAGCCGAGGCCGCCAGGCGUAGGCGAUGGAAGGCAGGUUAAUAUUCCUGCACUACCGAAUUAACACAGAAGCCAGCAGGGACGGAGAAAGCUAGACAGACCGGUUGUUGGUAUGCCCGGUUCAAGCGUGUAGAGGUUCGUCGUACGAUCAAAAGGCGACGGAGCUAUCCUCGAGGCGUGAUGAGACUGCAAAGCUAUGGCUGCGCGGGAACCUGUCGAUGCUAUGCUUCCAAGAAAAGCUGCGGGUGGAGUUGUUUCGGUAUCCGUACCGCAAACCGACACUGGUAGGUAGGUGGAGAACACUAAGGCGCUUGAGAGAACCCUAGUUAAGGAACUCUGCAAAAUAGCACCGUAACUUCGGGAUAAGGUGUGCCUUCGGCGGUGUAGGACUUCGCGUUCGAAGCUUCCGAGGGCCGCAGCGAAGCGGGGGUAGCGACUGUUUACCAAAAACACAGGCUUCUGCUAAGUCGAAAGACGACGUAUAGGAGCUGACUCCUGCCCGGUGCCGGAAGGUUAAGGGGAUUGCUUAGCGCAAGCGACGGCAUGAACCGAAGCCCCGGUAAACGGCGGCCGUAACUAUAACGGUCCUAAGGUAGCGAAAUUCCUUGGCGGGUAAGUUCCGUCCUGCACGAAUGGAGUAACGACUUCCCCACUGUCUCAACUAGGGACUCAGCGAAAUUGAACUCGCGGUGAAGAUACCGCGUUCCCGCAGACGGACGGAAAGACCCCAUGAACCUUCACUGCAACUUGGCACUGACAUUCGGGUCAGAUUGCGUAGGAUAGGUGGGAGGCUUUGAUCCUUCACUUCCGGGUGAGGGGGAGCCAACCUUGAAAUACCACCCUGUUUGUCCUGGAUGUCUAACCCAGGCCCGUCAUCCGGGUCGGGGACACUGCCUGGUGGGCAGUUUGACUGGGGCGGUCGCCUCCAAAAGAGUAACGGAGGCGCG